GCUUACGGCCACCCCGCCUGGUUCACGCCCGAUCUCGUUUGAUCUCGGAAGCUAAGAUAGGUUGGGCCUGGUUAGUACUUGAAAAGGAGACCGCCUGGGAAUACCAGGUGCUGUAAGCA
Molecule: ribosomal RNA, 119 nt
Filed under: Scophthalmus maximus (turbot)
Lineage: Eukaryota; Metazoa; Chordata; Actinopteri; Pleuronectiformes; Scophthalmidae
Source: RNAcentral